Molecule: long non-coding RNA, 808 nt
Filed under: Brassica napus (rape)
Lineage: Eukaryota; Viridiplantae; Streptophyta; Magnoliopsida; Brassicales; Brassicaceae
Description: long non-coding RNA (BNAP_LNC020286)
Source: RNAcentral
UUGAGUGGUAUCAUAGAGCCAGAAAGACUUGAAGAAAAGAAAGCAAAAGAAACUGAGGUAAUUGAGAUAGAAAGUGAAGAAGACGAGGACAUGUUAGAAACUGAAUCACAUGGGCUAAGAAGGUUAGGAAGACAGAGCAGAAGACCGAGAUAUCUAGAUGAUUACAUACUACUUUCAGAGGAAGAAGGUGAGCUGUUAUUAAUGUGUUUGAACGAUGAGCCAAGAAAUUUUGAGGAAGCAAAAGAGCAUAAAUAUUUUGAGGAAGCAAAAGAGCAUAAAGUGUGGGUACGAGCUGAACUCUUAAAACUCGAUUUCUAAUCAAUCAAACCUAUUUUUCUCUUCUCCUUGAAGAACAAUGGGGAGAAGAAGAUGGCGUGAGAAAAAGUUUCCAAAUCGAUGUUUUAAUUUUUUAAUUUAAAAAUUGAUUUUAUAAAUCACGAUUUCUUUUUUUAAAAUGAUUUAAUAAAUAUAAAGAAACUGAAUAUUUCCAAAUAUUAUCUUCCCAUAUUUUUGGAACUGAUUAUCCUUAUCCGUAGAAUCAGUAUUCUACUAUAUGUAGAACACAGUAAACAUGUUUGAAAUUGAUUUCUACUAGUUUUAGAUUCAUAGUAAUGUGUGGAUUCCAAUUUCUAGAGAUUUUAGAUUUAUAAUAAUGUGUAGAUUCUGGAUUUUACAGAUUUUAGAACGAUAGGUUAAGCGUGGAAUGUGUUUUCCAAAUAUUUUUAGAUUACUAUUAUUUACUUGAUCACGUAUUCUAAACAUAUUAGAUUCAAUGAAAAAAGUGGAUUACAUUUUCUACUGUGUAAAA